RNAcentral lists this ribosomal RNA (467 nucleotides) under uncultured bacterium. RNAcentral's name for it is "partial 16S ribosomal RNA". It matches the Rfam family "Bacterial small subunit ribosomal RNA", at positions 28 to 506 of the family's 1533-position model. The record is from RNAcentral.
GACGAACGCUGGCGGCGUGCUUAACACAUGCAAGUCGAACGGAAAGGCCCUGCUUUUGUGGGGUGCUCGAGUGGCGAACGGGUGAGUAACACGUGAGUAACCUGCCCUUGACUUUGGGAUAACUUCAGGAAACUGGGGCUAAUACCGGAUAGGAGCUCCUGCUGCAUGGUGGGGGUUGGAAAGUUUCGGCGGUUGGGGAUGGACUCGCGGCUUAUCAGCUUGUUGGUGGGGUAGUGGCUUACCAAGGCUUUGACGGGUAGCCGGCCUGAGAGGGUGACCGGCCACAUUGGGACUGAGAGACGGCCCAGACUCCUACGGGAGGCAACAGUGGGGAAUAUUGCACAAUGGGCGGAAGCCUGAUGCAGCAACGCCGCGUGCGGGAUGACGGCCUUCGGGUUGUAAACCGCUUUCGCCUGUGACGAAGCGUGAGUGACGGUAAUGGGUAAAGAAGCACCGGCUAACUACGU